AUUGAACGCUGGCGGCAGGCCUAACACAUGCAAGUCGAACGAGUGGCGGACGGGUGAGUAAUGUCUGGGAAACUGCCUGAUGGAGGGGGAUAACUACUGGAAACGGUAGCUAAUACCGCAUCCCAUCGGAUGUGCCCAGAUGGGAUUUGCUAGUGGGUGGGGUAACGGCUCACCUAGGCGACGAUCCCUAGCUGGUCUGAGAGGAUGACCAGCCAAACUGGAACUGAGACACGGUCCAGAAGCCUACGGGAGGCAGGAGUGGGGAAUAUUGCACAAGGGGCGCAAGCCGGAUGCAGACAUGCCGCGGGUAUGAAGAAGGCCUUCGGGUUGUAAAGUACGUUCAGCGGGGAGGCGGGAAGAGAAGAAGAAGAACCGGCUAACUCCGUGCCAGCAGCCGCGGUAAUAG
RNAcentral lists this ribosomal RNA (406 nucleotides) under uncultured bacterium. RNAcentral's name for it is "partial 16S ribosomal RNA". It matches the Rfam family "Bacterial small subunit ribosomal RNA", at positions 29 to 526 of the family's 1533-position model. The record is from RNAcentral.